GACAGAGGGUGCAAACGUUGUUCGGAAUUACUGGGCGUAAAGCGAGUGUAGGCGGUUCGAUAAGUCGGAUGUGAAAGCCCCGGGCUCAACCCGGGAAGUGCACUCGAUACUGUCGAGCUAGAGUAUCGGAGAGGUUGGUGGAAUUCUCGGUGUAGAGGUGAAAUUCGUAGAUAUUCGGAAGAACACCAGUGGCGAAGGCGGCUCACUGGACCGUAGUUGACGCUGAGGUGCGAAAGCGUGGGGAGCAAACAGG
RNAcentral lists this ribosomal RNA (253 nucleotides) under uncultured bacterium. RNAcentral describes it as "partial 16S ribosomal RNA". It matches the Rfam family "Bacterial small subunit ribosomal RNA", at positions 524 to 776 of the family's 1533-position model. The record is from RNAcentral.